This 429-nucleotide ribosomal RNA is filed under the name Pseudomonadota bacterium. RNAcentral's name for it is "Proteobacteria bacterium partial 16S ribosomal RNA". It matches the Rfam family "Bacterial small subunit ribosomal RNA", at positions 355 to 776 of the family's 1533-position model. The record is from RNAcentral. Lineage: Bacteria; Pseudomonadati; Pseudomonadota.
UGGGGAAUAUUGGACAAUGGGCGAAAGCCUGAUCCAGCCAUGCCGCGUGUGUGAAGAAGGUCUUCGGAUUGUAAAGCACUUUAAGUAGGGAGGAAGGGCAGUAAGCGAAUACCUUGCUGUUUUGACGUUACCGACAGAAUAAGCACCGGCUAACUCUGUGCCAGCAGCCGCGGUAAUACAGAGGGUGCAAGCGUUAAUCGGAAUUACUGGGCGUAAAGCGCGCGUAGGUGGUUCGUUAAGUUGAAUGUGAAAGCCCCGGGCUCAACCUGGGAACUGCAUCCAAAACUGGCGAGCUAGAGUAGGGCAGAGGGUGGUGGAAUUUCCUGUGUAGCGGUGAAAUGCGUAGAUAUAGGAAGGAACACCAGUGGCGAAGGCGACCACCUGGGCUCAUACUGACACUGAGGUGCGAAAGCGUGGAGAGCAAACAGG